Molecule: long non-coding RNA, 1201 nt
Filed under: Marmota monax (woodchuck)
Lineage: Eukaryota; Metazoa; Chordata; Mammalia; Rodentia; Sciuridae
Source: RNAcentral
UGGGUAUUUACUUAUUGACGAGGAAUGGGAGAUGUUGGGCAGCAUUGCCUGUAAUCAGGUAAAUCAAUCCCAGCCACCUUGCAGCAAGGUAUCCCUUAACAAGAAAGGUUGAAUUUAAAUGGUAACUGAGUUGGCCUUUUAGAGUUUGGAGAAAUUGAGGGUAAUAAUGGUAAUCCCAAAUUUACUUGAGGACCUUUUCCUGGUAAAUUUGGAAAGUCACUAUAGAUCACCAGUGAUGUGCCUAUCCCUGUACUGGGGGUAUGUGGGGAAUAUAAAAUUCUCAAUACUUUCCUCUAAGGUGCUUAUGUUUUACAUAGUAAGAAUAAAGCAUACCCACGAUCAUACCUGUGCCCAAAAGCCAGGGUAGCUUUAACAAGUGCUUAAAUGCAAGCCAUAGUUUCAGGUUGAUAGAACAUUAGGGGACAGAUCUUUUUACAGGGAGAAGCCACACUGAGGGAAUGAGGAGGAAGGGUGGAAUUUGCAGUAGCAGCCAGAUGAUGGUGACAUUGAAGGGGCAACUGGGCUGUCAGAGAUGGCCCCUGAGUGGAUGGUGUGAUUUUUGAUUUUUAGAACUAGAAGGUAUCUGUCCUCUGUCUCCUUUGGGGGACACGCUCAUUACACAGAUACAGAAAAUAAGCCCAGAGCAGUAGAAUGACUUGCCCAAGGACAAAGAUUUAGUGGCAAAGCUGAAACUGAAGCCAUUUCCCUGCAUCCCUGCAGAGUGCUUUUUCUGUUAGUUCACCAUGUCCUAGCCAGACUUCUGAAAAUGUGAUAUUUGCCCAAAGCGUCGAGACUUAUGUAAUAUUCAGCGUGGCCCAUUUUGGAAUAGGCUUGUUUCUUUGCUAUUUUAAGAGGGCUGCUAUGAUGACAUCAUUUAUUUUUCUGAUGUGAUUAAAGAAAAUACCAGCUGGCAUCAAAGGUGUUGGGAGCAGGGAAGUGGUGCCACCACAGCCAUGACAUUAAGCUUCUGGUACACCCACCCCAGGGCUUUCAUGUUCCAGCAAGGGCUUUUAACUGGACUCUCUGGAUGUCCUUGCCCAGUCAGGGUAGGGCAUGUGUCAUUGCCAGCCUGUGAUUGCCUCGAGGGGCCUCUUUGUGAUCCCAUCUCUAAUUUCCGUCUACAGCUUUGUGAGCUACAAUAGAUAGAUUCUGUUUCCCUUCUCCUUUCAUUGCUUGCCCCAUUCCCAGCUUGGAGCCCUGC